UUGGUAAUUUGAGCAAUAGCUUCGGCUUUAGCCGAAGAGGAAAGUCCGGACACUCAUUCUUCGUAAGAAGAUUAAAAGUACAGGCUAACAGCCUGCCGCGGUAACGCGAGAGGUGCGAACAGAGACGGUUUAAUUCGAAAGAAUUAAACAGCCCUUUAAAGCUUUUAAGCAAAAAAAGGGUGAGACAAACUAUAACUUGGGUGUUCUCCUGCGCUAAAGCUAUGGAGAACAAACAAACUAAGGUUUGUUUGAAACGGCUAAAUCCUUACUCGAGUGCAAGGCCGUACUCUGGCGCUUUGCGUCAGUUUGAGCCGCUUGAGCCUGCGAGCAAUCAAAGGCCCAGACAAAUUAUUGCUUAUCUCGAAGAAAUUCGAGAAGACAGAAUCCGGCUUACAGAAUUACCAAUAUC
This 409-nucleotide RNase P RNA is filed under the name Candidatus Wolfebacteria bacterium. RNAcentral describes it as "RNase P RNA component class A". It matches the Rfam family "Bacterial RNase P class A". Rfam says of the family: Ribonuclease P (RNase P) is a ubiquitous endoribonuclease, found in archaea, bacteria and eukarya as well as chloroplasts and mitochondria. Its best characterised activity is the generation of mature 5'-ends of tRNAs by cleaving the 5'-leader elements of precursor-tRNAs. Lineage: Bacteria; Candidatus Wolfeibacteriota. The record is from RNAcentral.